UCCCGGGUGGCUCAGAUGGUAAAGCGUCUGCCUACAAUGCAGGAGACCCAGGUUCAAUCCCUGGGUCAGGAA
RNAcentral lists this transfer RNA (72 nucleotides) under Capra hircus (goat). It matches the Rfam family "tRNA". Rfam says of the family: Transfer RNA (tRNA) molecules are approximately 80 nucleotides in length. Their secondary structure includes four short double-helical elements and three loops (D, anti-codon, and T loops). RNAcentral also lists the same sequence under 1 other name. Lineage: Eukaryota; Metazoa; Chordata; Mammalia; Artiodactyla; Bovidae. The record is from Rfam by way of RNAcentral.